GGUAAAUAUAAUUUAAUGGUAAAAUAGUUGUUCGUGGCACAAUAUAUCUGAGUUCGAUUCUCAGUUUUUACC
RNAcentral lists this transfer RNA (72 nucleotides) under Barnettozyma californica. RNAcentral describes it as "tRNA-His". It matches the Rfam family "tRNA". From Rfam's summary of the family: Transfer RNA (tRNA) molecules are approximately 80 nucleotides in length. Their secondary structure includes four short double-helical elements and three loops (D, anti-codon, and T loops). Further hydrogen bonds mediate the characteristic L-shaped molecular structure. tRNAs have two regions of fundamental functional importance: the anti-codon, which is responsible for specific mRNA codon recognition, and the 3' end, to which the tRNAs corresponding amino acid is attached (by aminoacyl-tRNA synthetases). tRNAs cope with the degeneracy of the genetic code in two manners: having more than one tRNA (with a specific anti-codon) for a particular amino acid; and 'wobble' base-pairing, i.e. permitting non-standard base-pairing at the 3rd anti-codon position. The record is from RNAcentral. RNAcentral also lists the same sequence under 1 other name. Lineage: Eukaryota; Fungi; Ascomycota; Saccharomycetes; Phaffomycetales; Phaffomycetaceae.